This 796-nucleotide ribosomal RNA is filed under the name Hyperolius cinnamomeoventris (cinnamon-bellied reed frog). RNAcentral describes it as "partial 16S ribosomal RNA". It matches the Rfam family "Bacterial large subunit ribosomal RNA", at positions 1488 to 2555 of the family's 2925-position model. Lineage: Eukaryota; Metazoa; Chordata; Amphibia; Anura; Hyperoliidae. The record is from RNAcentral.
AUCUUUACUUUAUAAUUAAACCCACCCCCACUAUUAAGUAACUUUAUACUGUUAUAAAAAUUAUUAUGUAAGAAUUAGUAAUAAGAAAUUGUUUUUCUCCAAAAUAUAAGUGUAAUGCAAAACAAACUAAUACCUGCCAAUUACUGUGUAUAAACUUUAAGUAGCAACUCCACAAGAAAACCCUACCACAACAAACAUUAACCUAACACAAGAAUAUUAUAGGAAAGAUCAAAAAAAGAGGAAGGAACUCGGCAAACACGAACCCCGCCUGUUUACCAAAAACAUCGCCUCUUGUUAAUAUAUAAGAGGUCCUGCCUGCCCAGUGAUUAAUUUAACGGCCGCGGUACACUAACCGUGCAAAGGUAGCAUAAUCAAUUGUCCUUUAAAUAGGGACUAGCAUGAACGGCACCACGAGGGUUUAACUGUCUCCCCAUUUUAAUCAAUGAAAUUAAUCUUCCCGUGAAAAAGCGGGAAUAAAACUAUAAGACGAAAAGACCCUAUGAAGCUUUAAACUUAUUACCACUUAUCUCAACCAUAUAACAACUCACACGAUAAGACUGUUUAAAUAGUUUUCGGUUGGGGCGACCCUGGAGAAAAGUAAAUCCUCCAGAUUGAAAAAAAACAACCCUUAUACAAGAACCACAAUUCAAAUAAACAAAAAUUUGACAAAACUGACCCAGAAUUUACUGAUCAGCGAACCAAGUUACUCUAGGGAUAACAGCGCAAUCUAUUUUAAGAGCUCCUAUCGACAAAUGGGUUUACGACCUCGAUGUUGGAUCAGGGUAUCCUAGCAGCG